Molecule: ribosomal RNA, 378 nt
Filed under: uncultured archaeon
Lineage: Archaea
Description: bacterial SSU rRNA
Rfam family: Archaeal small subunit ribosomal RNA
Source: RNAcentral
AAACUUUACAAUGCGAGAAAUCGUGAUAAGGGAACUCCGAGUGCCCGUAAAAUCGGGCUGUUAGCUUGUUUAAAUAACAGGUUGAGAAAGGGCCGGGCAAGACCGGUGCCAGCCGCCGCGGUAAUACCGGCGGCUCGAGUGGUGGCCACUAUUACUGGGCUUAAAGCGUUCGUAGCUGGUCUGUUAAGUCUCUGGGGAAAUCUUCCGGCUCAACCGGAAGGCGUCUCAGGGAUACUGGCAGACUAGGGACCGGGAGAGGUGAGGGGUACUCCAGGGGUAGGAGUGAAAUCCUGUAAUCCUUGGGGGACCACCUGUGGCGAAGGCGCCUCACCAGAACGGCUCCGACAGUGAGGAACGAAAGCUGGGGGAGCAAACCGG